Molecule: ribosomal RNA, 514 nt
Filed under: Parnassius staudingeri affinis
Lineage: Eukaryota; Metazoa; Arthropoda; Insecta; Lepidoptera; Papilionidae
Description: partial 16S ribosomal RNA
Rfam family: Bacterial large subunit ribosomal RNA (bases 387-514)
Source: RNAcentral
UUUUUGAUUAAUAAUUUAAAGUCUAAUCUGCCCACUGAUAAUAUAUUAAAGGGCUGCAGUAUUUUGACUGUACAAAGGUAGCAUAAUCAAUAGUCUCUUAAUUGGUGACUUGUAUGAAAGAUUUAAUGAGAUAUAUACUGUCUCUUUUUAAUUUAUAAAAUUUAAUUUUUUAGUUAAAAAGCUAAAAUAAAUUUAAAAGACGAGAAGACCCUAUAGAGUUUAAUAUUUAACUAAAUUAAAAUUAUUUAUAAAAUUUAAAAUUUUAAUUUAUAAUAAAUAUUUUGUUGGGGUGAUAAAAAAAUUAAAAGAACUUUUUUUUAUAAAUUUACAUUAAUAAAUGAAUAAAUGAUCCGUAAUUUACGAUUAAAAGAAAAAAUUACCUUAGGGAUAACAGCGUAAUUUUUUUUUUUAGUUCAAAUAAGAAAAAAAGUUUGCGACCUCGAUGUUGGAUUAAGAUAAAAUUUAAAUGCAAAAGUUUAAAAUUUUUGAUCUGUUCGAUCAUUAAAAUCUUACA